UAAAAGUCUCUCUUUCAACCGUCAACUUCCCUCCUUUCGUCGUUAGCCUGAACAAUUCAUCUUCCGCAGCAUCAACACAGGUCCCAUUAAUGUCACAGAUCUCUCCUUUAGGUGAUAGAGGCAAUAGCGUGUGGAUCACGGGUUCUGAUUUCACCAAAGACACAAACUUUGUGUACAAGAGCUCGACUUUAUCGACUUCUUCGCUUAUAAACAGAGAGAAGACAUCAUCAGCCACAGCUUGUGCUUCUUUAGCCGUAGGUAAAGUUCCGGCUUCAAGGUAUCUGUCGACGGGUAUGUACGGACGACGGAGGAAAUAAGAAUUUCCCUUCUUCCCCACGCUAAUGACUGUGUAAUCAAGACCAAGACCUUUAAGCUCUUUGAUUCUUGCCUCUGCUUUCUUGAUGAUGAAAUUGUUGAAUCCACCACAUAAUCCACGAUCACCGGUUACGACAACGAGUGCUACUUUCUUAACCGGUCUGACUUUGGUUAAGGGCACAUCGACAUCAUCGGUUUGAAGCUGUUCGUUGAUGUUGUAAAGAACUUCAACUAGGGUUUCUGAGAAUGGUCGACCAUUGACGACAGCUUCUUGAGCUCUCCUGACUUUAGCUGCAGCGACAAGCUUCAUAGCUUCGGUGAUCUUCUGAGUGUUUUUGACUGAAUCGAUACGGUCUCUGAGCUCACGAAGAGACGCUUGGAGUGGUGAAACAGAGGAUGAUCUUGAAGGUGGAGAGGAAGUGUGAUUUGGGAGAGGAACUGGGCACUUGAGAACAGAUCGGAAUGAUAAGGAAGAUGAAUCAGCAGAAAGAGAUGGUUUUGAUGAAACCCACAUUGUUGUUAGAUUAGAGCAAGCCAUUUUUUCUUGUUUGUUUCAGACAGUGUUUUGCUCUAACCUUAUCUCUCUGUUCUUUUGAUUGUAUUGAAGAAGAAGAAAGAAGAGAGGAGAGAUUUGAGUGGAGGGAAGAGAAGGUAAUGAGAUUAGGUUUGGAGAUAAGGUUUUUUUUUUUACUUUGGUCUUUGGAGUCUGUGGGACCUUUUUUGUUGACGUGGCGUUGUAUUAGUGGAUGGUUCGAUAUCUUCAAUGUUUUUUUUUGUGUGUAUAUCUUGCUUCUUUGUUUAUCAGCCAACCAAUGGUUUUAUGAGUUUUGAGUCUCUCACAAUGAGAGAAAAUAUCUGAUAACUGAGGAUAGAAAUUAGUGUAAUUUGGUUUGGUUUAAUUUUAUUCGGUAUGGUUUUGGUUCAUUAGUAAAUAUAUAUAUAUACCAAUCAAAUUACCUAACAAGUUACAAUUCACUAAAAAUAGUAAAAUAUAUGUUGUUUUAUGUGGUUUGAUUUGUUAAUUGCUUCGAUUUAUUCCAAAAAAUAAUUUUAUAGAGCAAAAAAAUAUUAAGAAAACUAAUAUUUGGUUAUAAUGAAAUAAACAUAUAAUAAGAAAUAAUUAAAUUAUAUAUAUAUAUAUAUAUAGAAAUAUAUAAAAUUUAAUUCAUCAAAUUAGUUAUAAGAUGUAUAUAUAUGAAAAAUCAAGAAAAAUUUAACUUUAUUAUGAAAAUUGUAGUUUCUUUUUUUGGUUAAAUUUUGAUUUUAUUGGAUAUCCAAACUACAGAACUAGACAUAUUUGGAAUAUGCUUAUUAGUACAAAAACACACCGAAUCAUAGAAACCACAAUAAUUGGCAACUUGCUAUGAACAAGUUUUUAGUUUUAUUUGUUUUAUCUUAUCUCCAUCACCAAAAUUCUUUUAUUACGAUGUAAGCUCAUUUUCUCAUGGUUUUGGACAAACUUAAUUCAUCUAUAUAAAAUACCAACGAUCUAGUGACAUUCUAUUUCUUUAUUAAGUAAGGAUCAAAUUGAUCUUUGAAUAUUUGAUACAUACUUGAAGUAAAGCCCAUUAUUCUUUCCAUUUAUUAUUGCAUAGUGACAAAAUAAUAGAACAUUAAGGAUGCAUAACUUGUUGAGUCAUAAACCUUUAUGGGAUCUAGGGUUAUAGAGACAACCCAUGUAAAAUAUGCACUCGUGUCAAUAAUAUGAAGCCGUUUCUCUUUAACAUGGGUUGACUACCAUCACCCUAAGUUCAAUGAAGAUUAUGAUCAAUCAAAUCCGACAGAUUGUACAUAAUAUGCACCAUUUGUACAUUCUCAUCCUACAGAUUGUGGUUUCCAAAACAGGGUAUACGGAUUACUUAGGUAUUUGUACAUUCUCAUCCUGCAGAUAGACAGUUAUUUUAUUAAUCGAGAUAUAUCCGUAGACAUCACAAGUUAUUUUAUUUGUACAUUCUCAUCCGUAUAUCCUGUUUUGGAAACCACAAUCACUUGAUGGCCAACUUUUGUUAACAAGUCUAUUGGCUUUCCGUAACCAGAAUCGUCUGAAAGGAAAAGAAUGCUAUGAGUACGAGGGUGAUUCCGAAUCCACUUUGGUAUAAUCUAUUUUGUCUUCAGAUCUGCAGCUUGGUUUUUUUUUGGCGGUUGGAGGUCCUGAAAUAAAACGAUUAUUCAUUCAUUACAUCAAAGACACAAAUAGUUCACCAAAAUAAAAGAACAUCUUAAUUGGAAAAUUGUUGGUAAUGAUGAGUUUAAUGUUCUCCGUGUUCUUCAUCAUCUUCAGGUUUGGCAUAGGUGAGUCAAGGUAGCCCACAACCACCACAAAUUGUACUGGUCCACCAAAUCCGUUAGCCUUAAGUUGGUUCACGAUCUCCUCAAACGCUAGCCCGUGAUUCAUACCAGCUGAAAUCUCUAAGUUCUCGUAGUCCCACCAAACAAUGGUGGACACUUCUUUCUCCACAAGUGCCAGCGCAUCUUUCUCCACAAGAUUAUUGUAAGUGUCGAGUAAUUCAAUUGACUAAGAUAUAAAGAGCUUCAUAUUAUUAAAUACAUGCAUCAAAAAAUAUGUUCUUUAGAUUUAUAUUCCGAUGGAUGAUUUCUUUCAUCAUGGAUGUGCAUUAGGUCUUUUACAAUUUGAUGGAUUGUUCCCCAUACAAAAUCGUUAUUGGAGAAAUUAAAUUUAUUCAUAAACUGAACGGAGGGUCCUUAUACAAAACUCCAACUAAAUAUAAACAGUUAAAAUUUCAUCAUCCAUAUUUUACUUGAAUUCUCACACGAUUUGCUCGAGAUGGAACUCGCAAAAAAAAUUUGAGUGAGUAUCUUCUGCAAUUUAUGUUUAAUUUCAGUUUAUCCAACAAUAAAUUUCAUUAUAUUUUUGCGUUUGAAAAUUCAAAAUAUUUAAUUUUUAAGAAAAUUGAUGUAUUAUAACAGUUAAAAUGAUACGACUUGGUAUUAAGAAUUUCAAAAUCCAAAAUUCAUUUUUUAGGUUUUAUUUAGUUGUAUAAAUUAUUAUAUGUUAAUAUUAUUAUUAUUUUCUUUUUUGGAUUAGAAAAACAUUUUUUUUUUCUUUUUUGAUAAUGUUAAGGAAAUAAUUAUAUAUUUUGACACGUGCUUGAUCCAUCAUGUGGGUCUGGAAAACCAAGCUUGAAACUCUUAUUCGAAAUACCUCUUAGCAAUAUUUAAGUAAUAUAUUUGUAAAAGUGAAUGUUAAGAGAUAAUAUUUUUUAGUUAAGAUUUUUGUGUGAUUAAUGGUAGGCUCUUAGAAUUUUUAGGAAGAAAAUGAUUUGUGUUUACAACAAAAAAUUGAAGUGAUAAGAAAUUGAAGAUGAUACUUGUUUAUGGAGUAAAGUAUGGUUCAAUGACUUGGAUUUUUUGGUUGUGAGUUUGUAAGAAAAAAUAGACUUAAGACAAGAGAUAAUUCAUCGUAUAUAAACUUUGUGAUAUUUAUAGGCAAUGUUCUGAAAUAAUACCUGAUAAUUUUAUACAUGUUUAAUAAAAAAAAUCUCAGGAAUUCUAAAUUAUAAGAAGAGAGCUUGAUAAUAUGUGAGAGCAUGCUUUACAUGAAGGAUGAGCAGGAAGGCCAAGAUUUUGCGAGUGCUUCCAUGAACUCCACUGCUUCUUUAAACCGACAUUCAUGUUGAAGAACAUGACACAACUACAACAAAUAAGUAAGUGUUCAAUGGAACCUGAGAAUAAAUGAUGCAAAUGCUCAAUGUCAUGUAAAAUUGUUUGAGAAACUCACACAGUGAUGUGCCCAGGCGUCUUCUUUGUUUAUCUCAUAGCCUUUUUUGGAAGCUACUGCAGCUUCUUCCAUUCGACCAAGUUCUAACAAUGGGAACGCAAGUAUAUUCAGACCAAAGCAGAUUCUAGGCAAUGAUUUUGCCCAAAUUAGGAAUCCCCUUGUUCACUUCUAACUAGUAAAACCCAUCAUCAACCAAAACAUGAAAGACUCAAACAUGAAAGUGCACUAGCUUAAAACCACAAGAAUUCGUCAAUGGAAUAUACAUUAGAACUUCUAAUCAACUAGAGAAACACCACAUGAAUUUCAAAGUCUCCACUGCUCCUAAUUCCGACUAGAUUACGUCCAGCAAAACACUAAAUCCAAAAUCAAGACUUUCUACAUCUGAAAGCUUCAUUGCCUAAUUGUUCCAGUGAAGCAUCAAUCACCACAAAAUAGAUUACUGUUUUUGUUCUUCCCUAGUAAUAAGAGCAGUUUCACAUAAUAUAAAAAACCUAAAACCAAAACCAAACCUCUUUACAUAUAAAUUCAUCAUUCCCCAAUUGUUCAAAUCAACCAUGAAUCUAGCAUCGCAUAAACCCUAAGAUUAGAUUAUUUUGGGUUCUUCUCUUUGAUUUCAAAAAGACAAAAGAAUCGGACAUAAUUAUUAUUAAUAUACCUCAUGAUAAUCAAUGGUUCCAGCCGAAUCAAUGAUGAAAUUGGAAUCGAGACCUCUCUUCUUCACGAUAUUCCGCCGGAGGUCAUAAACAUCGUAGACUCCUCCGAUUGCUUCUGAUUUGAGACAAAUCGCCUUCGGUUUCGUUAUGGUAGAGAAACGCGUGAAAGAGAGAGGAGGAAGAGAGAAAAAUAUGGGGCAAUAAGAGAGAGGAGGAAGCCACGUAUGCGUCUCUUAGCAUAUUAUUUGGCUCUUAACUAAGGAACGAUUCUUAAAAUUUUAGUUAAUUAAUGAUUUAAUUUUAUUAACAAUUAUUGCUAAGAAUACACUAAGAAACUUGCGAUAAUCAUGCUCUUACUACAAAACCUAAUAACAUGGGUUUAGAUGGGCUAUCAUCUUGGGCUUUUAUGUGCUCUAAUAGUAUUGUCGUUUGUAUGACUCAUCUUCUUCAUCGGAUCUAAGGCGCCACUCAAAAGGGUUUAUGAAACCUUAAAGGUUAGGGUUUUAACAACAGAAAAAAAAAACUCAAAGGAGAUGGAUUUCGAGAAGAGAAAAGCUGCAACACUAGCUUCAAUUCGUUCGUCAGUGACUGACAAAUCUCCCAAAGGUUUUCUCGACGAACCCAUCAUCCCUCUUCUCGAAACCAUCAAUCACCACCCAUCUUACUUCACUACCAGUUCCUGCUCAGGUCGAAUCUCAAUCCUUUCUCAACCCAAACCAAAAUCGAAUGAUUCAACGAAGAAGAAAGCUCGUGGCGGUUCAUGGCUCUACAUCACACACGACCCAGCUGAUUCGGAUUUGGUAAUUUCUCUGCUUUUUCCUUCGAAGUCAAAUCAGAUUGACCCAAUUGACCAGCCUAGCGAAUUAGUCUUCCGAUUCGAGCCGUUGAUCAUUGCUGUCGAAUGUAAGGAUUUGGGUUCGGCUCAGUUUCUUGUGGCGUUAGCUAUAUCAGCUGGGUUUAGAGAAUCGGGUAUCACAUCUUGUGGGGAUGGCAAAAGGGUAAUUAUUGCUAUACGAUGUUCGAUUCGAAUGGAGGUGCCUCUUGGUGAUACAGAGAAGCUGAUGGUUUCGCCGGAGUAUGUGAAGUUCCUUGUUGAUAUUGGAAAUGAGAAGAUGGAUGCUAAUAGGAAGCGAACCGAUGGGUUUAGUGUAGCUUUGACUAGUAAUGGUUUCAAGAAUCCAGAUGCAAAUGAUGUUGAUGAAGAUGAUAAUUACGAGAAUCUAGCUGGAGAUCAUGAUUCAAGUAUCAACAACGGAAACUUGCAUCCUGGUAAUUUUUGUAUAUCCCUGUGUGAUUGUUGUAUUCGUAGAUAGCUUGAGUAAUGCAAUGAGGUUGGACAUGUUACAGUCUAUGAUGUAGUGUUUAACUAUAGUCUUGUUUAGUUUAUACUAGUGGUAGUCAUAUGGUCGAGAGUUUGAGUUAUGUCUACUUGGUUUGCAGGAUAACAUUCAAAUUUUAAACGUGAUAGCCAGUUUCCGUAUGUAAAUCAUUGGCAGGGCUUCAGCAAGAUCUCAUACCGCUCUCGAAAUUAUCCAUAGUCGGGGAACCUGUUGAGAAGCUCCACCUUUGGGGACACUCAGCUUGUACGAUAGAUAAACCCGACCGAAAAGAGGUUAUCGUGUUUGGUGGGUUUGGAGGUUUUGGUAGACAUGCUCGAAGAAAUGAGUCUUUGCUGCUCGAUCCUUCAUGUGGCAACUUAAAGUUGAUUGCUGUCAAUGAAUCUCCAUCAGCACGACUUGGCCACACAGCUUCAAUGGUUGGCGAUUUCAUGUUUGUGAUUGGAGGAAGGGCUGAUCCCUUGAACAUUUUGAAUGAUGUGUGGAGGCUCGAUAUAUCCAAGGGUGAAUGGAGCUCACAGAGGUGUAUUGGAAGUGAAUUUCCUCCAAGGUAAAUGUCAUUUUCUGUGUCCAUUUCUUCAAAAAACCUUUGACCUAUCUCCAAUGACAAACUUAUAUGAACUUCAAAUUCUCGGAGAUGCCCUCAACUGUAUUUUAGAAACUAAUAAUCCUGUUUAUUGCUCUUGGUUUGAUGCCUAUCUUGCUUCAUGUCUAUGAUUUAUUAUAUAUGUUUUUUGUUGCUUGUUGCAUUGACGCCCCUUCAGAUAAUUGUUAUCUCGAAUUUUCUUCUAAAUGCAAAUUCUUUGAAUUUGAGCAGGCAUCGGCAUGCAGCAGCCAGUGUUGGCACGAAAGUAUACAUAUUUGGUGGGCUUUACAAUGAUAAGAUAGUUUCCUCUUUGCACAUUUUGGAUACAAAGGACCUGCAGUGGAAAGAAGUUGAACAACAAGGUCAAUGGCCCUGUGCGCGCCACUCUCAUGCUAUGGUUGCAUAUGGGUCACAGUUAUUCAUGUUUGGAGGAUACAAUGGGGAAAAUGUACUCAAUGAUCUAUACAGCUUUGAUGUGCAAAGCUGUUCUUGGAAACUUGAAGUGAUUUCUGGAAAAUGGCCUCCUGCAAGGUUUUCACACUCAAUGUUUGUUUAUAAGCAUAAUACUGGCAUAAUUGGAGGUUGUCCUGUUUCACAAAAUUGUCAAGAGUUGACUUUGCUAGAUCUGAAGCACCGAUUGUGGAGGAGUGUGAGAUUGGAAUUUAUGAACAAAGAGUUGUUUGUUAGAAGUACAGCCAGCGUUCUUGGUGAUGAUCUUAUCGUCAUUGGGGGUGGGGCUGCUUGCUAUGCUUUUGGGACAAAGUUUAGUGAACCAGUGAAAACCAACUUGGUUCAAUCUGUGACUAUGAGUGAAAAUAAUGUUCCUCUCCAACCUGAAGAUGUUUCUAUAGAAUGGAAUAAAAACGAUGCAGAUUUGAAGACUGAAAUGUCUCUGUCUCAACCAUGGGUGAUACAGUUAGAAAGAAAAUAUGCAAAGUUUGGCAAGGAUCUACUUAAAAGUUUUGGAUGGUUAGACCUUGAGAGGAAGGUUUACUCAAACGAAAAAGGUCUUUGUAUAUGCUUUCCUGUGACUGAAAAGUUUUCUGAACUUUUCCAUGAGAAGCAGCUUUUGGGCAAGGACUUAGAAGGGUCAGAGGAUGAUAGCCUAGAAAAGGGUCUAUCCUUAAAAGACAUAUCCAGCUCAGCGGCUUUGAAUCUUCUGAAGGAACAUGGUGCUAAAAAACUCAUUAAUGUCGCUUUUGAAGCCAAAAAAGUUGCGAAAUCCCCCUUACAGAGAAUGAGAGAAUAUAUCACAUCUAUACUUAAACAGAAAGGCCUACCGGAAGAGCUUUUGGACGAGCUCCCACAGAAGUAAGUGUUCCAGAAUGUUGAUUUUAUAAUACUCGGGGACUAAAAUGGUGAGAAUCUGAUUGCGUGCAUGUUUGUUUUUACUUCCGUCUGAUAAGUAAUUGUGAUUUAUCUACUGGUAGAUGGGAACGGCUUGGGGAUAUUGUUGUGCUUCCUGCAACAUCCUUUAAAGAUCCAACUUGGAACUCUAUCAGUGAUGAAGUUUGGUGUGCGGUUUCUAAAUCACUUAGUGCCAACCGCCUUGCACGCCAAGUAUGUUGCUUUUAGAUCCUUGCACCAAUAUUUUUAAAGUGCAAACCUGUAUAUCUUACCUAUUCAUCUUAAAGCGCCUCAAAAUCUACAAUACUGGUUUAUUAUAAGUUGUGAGAGUGCUGAGAACUUUACAAACUAUUCUCUUCCCCAAUUGCAUCUGCUUACCAGUAAGACUUAUAUCAUCGAUUUUGUGUCUUUUUCAGGGACGAGUUGAACCUAAUGGUACAAGGGAUAGUACAUUGGAGAUUCUUGUGGGAGAUAAUGGAUGGGUUGAUCACUGUGAAAAUGGGAUCUUGUACUCUUUCGAUGCUACAAAGUGUAUGUUCUCAUUGGGUAAUCUCUCAGAAAAGCUUCGUAUGGGUAACAUGGCCUGUGAAAAUGAAGUUGUGGUGGAUCUGUUCGCUGGAAUUGGAUAUUUUGUUCUCCCAUUUCUUGUGAGGUAUGCCAUUAUUGAAUGAAUUAGAGAAGAGAAAGUGGUUUUAUACAAUCAAAAGUCAAUACUUUAUUAAUGCAUUCUCAAUUUACAUUUGCAGGGCAAAAGCAAGGCUAGUAUAUGCUUGUGAGUGGAAUCCCCAUGCUAUUGAAGCUCUUCGACGUAAUGUUGAAGCAAAUUCUGUUUCUGACCGGUGUAUCAUUCUUGAAGGGGAUAACCGGAUCACCGCACCGAAAGUACGGUUGAUGAUAUUCCAAACUGCUCACCAUCUAUUUAAUUCUAUGCAAAUGUUUCAAGGUAUACCUGUUGGAUCGAGUAAAUCGCUGAAGUAAUAGAUUUCGUGUUUCAAAUCUUUUGAUUCUCAGGGAGUGGCUGACAGAGUCAAUCUUGGUCUUAUCCCGAGUAGCGAAGGAAGCUGGGUCACAGCUAUUCAGGCAUUAAGGUGAUUGUACUUUCCUGAAAUCUUGUUCUUUACUACAAGAACCAGCAGCAUAAAGUCUGGAACAAGUUAAAGUUCAGUCUCUCCAAAAGAUAUAAUCUUCAAGAUGAUUCAAACUCAGGGAUGUAAAAAUCUUAUGCCACACUGCUCUUGGAACCUCUGAAUAUGAUCCAAGAAUGCAAUCAUGAGAGAGAACAACCACUCGAUUGAAUGUGAAUUCACUGAUGUCUCUGUUAUUGUUAUUGGAACUUGCAGGCCUGAGGGAGGAAUACUCCAUGUGCAUGGAAACGUCAAGGACUCAGAUGAGAGCAGUUGGGGCGAGCAUGUCACCAAAACAUUAAGUGAUAUCGCCAGAGCCGAAGGUAAUAAGUUUAUGAACAAAAUCGAAAGCUUUUUGAACCAAAAAAAAAAAGAGCAUUGGUUUUUGAAAUUCGGUUUUGUUACUCGUAAACCAGCGUAACUAGGAUUUACUGGGUGAUGAGAUUUCUAAUCUUGAUUUGGGUAAUACUAGAAAAUAACUUGGGACUUAUAUUAUUUUUGGGUUUUCAUGGUUUAGGUCGUAGCUGGGAAGUGACAGUGGAACAUAUAGAGAAGGUGAAAUGGUACGCUCCUCGGAUUCGCCAUCUUGUCGCCGAUGUGAGAUGCAGAUGUUGAUGACAACGACAACAACAACAGCGAGAGUGCAGCUCAGAGAGUUCCCAUUGUAUUGUUGAACUUGUAUGAUCUCAAUUUCGAUAAAUGGUUUUUCACCAUUUGAGACAUUGAUUACUCUGUAGUCUGUACCAUUCCCAAGUAAUCAGUUCCCCAGUAACAAUCCUACAAUUCAAUCCAUAUGAAUUCCCUCAGUACUUAAAUAGGUGUUUUUUACUUACAUUCUUGCAAAACUUCUAAUGGGGCUAUAAUGGAUAUUCAUAUAACAAUACUUAUUCAUAACACUUAAAUAGUUAAACCCUAAGUGACUUUUUUAAAAAACAGUUGACCACCACCUCUGUCUCCGUUAUUAGGUCUUUGUGAGAAUCUUCAUUGAGUUUUACGUAGCUCUAUAAGAUAUAACAAAUGGUUCUUCACUCCAAGGCUCCUGCAAAGAAGCAGCAAAAUAAACGAAUUGCUUUCAAGGUAGCACCCUUUUAAAAUUGCUCUCUCUUUUCUUAUGAAUCUUCUUCAAGUGUUUGACAAUUUUUUGGUGUUAAUUUUGCAGAAAAUUAAGAGAAAACUCGGGAGAAAAUUGCCUAAGAUUCAAAAAUCAAAAGGUAUAUUGCUUUCUCAUGCAAUUCAAACUUCUUUUUUUUUUUUUUUUGCUUCUGUGAGUAUAGGUGGUUGAAACUUUCUUUUGUUUAUAUUGCAGAAAUGAUACUUCCUGAGCAAAGUGUGGCAGCUGAAAAAAGGAAAGGCUUGACCCUCAAUGAUCUUCUGCAACAAACUUCACAUUGCAAUGCCAAACUUCGCAAAGGUACUUUUUUUUCUCUCUUGGUCAUGCUUUUUUGGUUGAGGAAGAUAUGAUGCUUGCUAUGUGGACUUUUGCAAGAAUCAUCCAGCAGAGCUGCAGUCACAUAAAUAAUUUAUCAUUCAGAAACUCAGCAAACGUAUUAGUGAUGAUGAUAUAAGCUUGUUAGAGAUACUCUUUACCAACAACUAUUGAGAAAGUCAUCUUUCCUCCUUGUAAAGAGGUAUUAGUUCUUCUCUUUGGAUCAAACUUGCAUCCUUACUAGUAAGUUAACUGUUGUAUCCAACAGUCGAAUCUAUAUAUGUGUGAAUGAAUCUAUUCAGGAUAACCUUAUGGUGUCACUUUUAAUGCCAUGCAUAUCUUGCGCUAUGGCUCAUCGAUUGAUGUUCUUGGAUUGUGAUACAGACUGUUACUUUUCCCAACUUUUGCCUCUAGUGUUUCUUGCAAGAUGUUCCAUGAAAUUUCCAUGUGCUACUUGUUGCAGCUUCUCGAAAUCUACAAGGAUAACAAACCGACAAAUUAAUUUGAUAUUUAACGCGAGAACGAAAGCGAGAUUUCCAUAAUUCCCAUUUGGGACUAAGUGAUAAAAUAUUGGAAAUAUAGAGAAUAUCACACACAAACUUAAUUAAUCUUCCUAAAUUUCAAAGUUGUACCCAGCCAAGUUACACUUGUAAGUUGUUAUAAUUUUUCUUUUAAUUGGCAUGCUUUCAUUUGCGGGCAUUUCUAUUGAUGUUCGAAUUUUAAUUUCUAUACUACAAAGUUCUGUCCUGAAUUCUGAUUAUUCCAUUUCUACCCAGAGCAACCACAUACUAAAAUUUAAUUCUUUUUUUUUUUGUCUCAAAAGUUUUAUUAUAUUCUACAGCAAAUAUUACAUGAGCCGGCAGGACUAAAGCCUCCGGAAGUAAAGCCGAGAAAACGAGAAUAUCCCGGAAAAGCAUUCGUUGAUACCAGAAUCUAAACCAACGUACGAAAGCAAAA
RNAcentral lists this long non-coding RNA (11484 nucleotides) under Arabidopsis lyrata. Its description in RNAcentral is "long non-coding RNA (ALYR_LNC001469)". The record is from RNAcentral. Lineage: Eukaryota; Viridiplantae; Streptophyta; Magnoliopsida; Brassicales; Brassicaceae.